This 210-nucleotide long non-coding RNA is filed under the name Sorghum bicolor (sorghum). Its description in RNAcentral is "long non-coding RNA (SBIC_LNC015587)". Lineage: Eukaryota; Viridiplantae; Streptophyta; Magnoliopsida; Poales; Poaceae. The record is from RNAcentral.
CUCCCCUUUCCCCUCGCGACUACCUCUUCUCUACCCGACGCAUAGAGCAUCCUCCCUCUCUCGAGCGCCCGACUCGCCCCUGGAAGAGGCCGCGGGUUGGAGGCACCCCUCUCUCUCUCCUUCGCCCCACCCUCUCUCUCCCCAUGGCGGCCCUAGAAGUGGCCGCGGGUUGGAGGCGCCCCUCUCCCUCUCCUCCACCUCACCCUCUCC